Molecule: non-coding RNA, 4762 nt
Organism: Malus domestica (apple)
Lineage: Eukaryota; Viridiplantae; Streptophyta; Magnoliopsida; Rosales; Rosaceae
Source: RefSeq, a predicted model, not a curated record
AUUGCUGAAGCUGCCUUGCCGAGCUGAAUGUGAAAGCUCCAUAAGGAUCAAAGCAAAAGACCCAGAAAGAAAAGAUGAUUUCUUUUUUUAAUUUUCCCACUUUAUCUUUUGCUGCUAUAAAAAUUUACCUCAGAAAUUAAGGAACGGGUCUUUUGUGUUUUUUUCAAUCAGGCCCUUCAAAGAAAGAGUCAAGAGUGGGGGAAAGUGGGAGUCUUCAGUCUCCCCACAAGCUUAAAAGACGACUUAUUUCUCAGAUUACAACUUUCCAAAUUACCCAAAAGAGAUAAAAAGAGAAAGGAAAUCCCUUUUAUUCCUCUACUUUUGAAAUAUUCUGUGUAUUUUUGACAGGGUUUCUUGGGUGCGUAUCCCUGGAAAAUUGUGGGGAGAAGAGUGAUGGUGCUGUGAGUUUUGGUGGGCAUGAGCUUUUUCUCAGAUUGAAAGGUAUAUAGAGAAAAAUGGAAGGUAAAGCAGGCAUGAAAACUAUUUCGGAUCAGAAGCUCGAGGUUGUUGUCCUGCAAGGCUUCUGCUUUUUUUGUCAGUUGUGCAAUCAAAUGGAAAUUGAGGAUCUCACUUCCUAGUGUUGGUGAGUUUCAAAAUGUUGGCUGUAGACUUGGUUUCAAAUGCUGCAUCUGCUCCGGCUUCAGAAAUCAUUUCUCAAAUAGUGGAGGCCAUUUUAGAAAUUUCAGCUGCUGCCGGGGAUGUCCUUGUUAAGAAGGAAACGUUUAAAGAGCUUUCAACUUAUCUGGAAAGGAUAGUCCCCAUCUUAAAGGAGUUGAACAAGAAAGCUGUUCUUCAUUCUGAGAGCUUAAGCAAUGUUAUGGCCAUUCUUAACCGAGAAAUCAGAGGUGCAAAGCAACUGACACUUGAGUGCAGGAAGAGAAACAAAGUGUAUCUCUUAAUGCAUUGCCGAACAAUAGUUAAGCGCCUAGGAGACACUAUGAAAGAGAUCAGUCGGGCUUUAGGUCUUCUUCCCCUGACUUCACUAGAUCUUUCAUCUGGCAUAGUUGAAGAAAUUGAAAAGCUUUGUGAUAAUAUGCAGCGAGCUGAGUUCAGGGCAGCAAUAGCAGAAGAAGAGAUUUUGGACAAAAUUGAGUCUGGAAUCCAGGAGAGAAACGUUGAUCGUGCUUAUGCAAAUAACUUGGUGGUUCUCAUAGCAGGGGCAAUCGGAAUCUCAACUGAGAGGUCAGUCUUCAAGAAGGAAUUAGAGGAAUUCAGGAAUGAGAUAGAAAAUGCUCGGCUGAGGAAAGACCAGGCUGAAGCUAUACAGAUGGAACAGAUAAUUGCUUUAUUAGAAGGGGCUGAUGCAGCUUCAUCUUCUAAGGAGAAAGAAAUGAAAUAUAUGAUUAAGCGGAAUUCUUUAGGGUCUCAACCAUUGGAACCACUUCAAUCAUUUUGUUGUCCAAUCACCAGGGAUGUUAUGAUAGACCCUGUGGAAACUUCUUCUGGACAGACAUUUGAGAGAAGUGCUAUAGAGAAGUGGUUUGCUGAUGGGAACAAAUCAUGCCCCAUGACCAUGACUUCUUUGGACAGAUCAAUUUUGCGGCCCAAUAAAACUCUCCGACAAUCCAUAGAAGAAUGGAAGGAUAGAAAUACGAUGAUUAUGAUUGGUUCCUUGAAAUCAAAACUCCAAUCUGAAGAAGAAGAAGAAGUGCUUGAUUGCCUGGGUGAUUUACUAGAUCUCUGUAAACAAAGAGAAUUGCAUAAGGAAUGGAUCAUACUGGAGAACUACAUACCUAUUCUCAUUCAACUUCUUGCUGUUAAAACUCCUGAGAUAAGGAACAAUGCUCUUCUCAUCCUUUGCAUUUUGGUGAAGGAUAGUGAUGAUGCGAAGGAAAGAAUUGCCAUAGUUGAUAAUGGCAUUGAAUCUAUUGUUCGUUCACUUGGGCGCCGUGUUGAGGAAAGGAAGUUAGCAGUUGCAUUACUUUUGGAGUUAUCAAAAAGUAAUUUGAUAAGAGAAUGCAUUGGGAAGGUUCAAGGCUGCAUACUCCUAUUAGUUACCAUGUCCAACAGUGAUGAUAAUCGGGCAGCCAGAGAUGCACAAGAGCUACUGGAGAAUCUGUCAUUCUCUGAUGAGAAUGUUAUACAGAUGGCGAAGGCAAACUAUUUUAAACAUUUGCUGCAGCGUCUCACUACAGGACCGGAGGAUGUAAAAACAGUCAUGGCAUCAAAUUUGGCGGAGAUGGAGUUGACCGACCACAAUAAAGAAUCUUUGGUUGAAGGAGGAGUAAUGAGUCCGCUUCUUUACAUGGUCUCACAUGGUGACAUUCCAAUUAAAAUGGUGGCUGUUAGAGCUCUUAGAAACCUCUCAAGCUUACCUAAAAAUGGUCUACAGAUGAUUCGAGAAGGUGCAGAACGCCCAUUACUUGACCUUCUUUUCAAUCUUCGUCCGUCAUCAUCAAGUUUGCGUGAAUAUAUAGCAGCCACGAUUAUGCAACUCUCCAUGUCAAUGGCGUCUCAAGAAUCCAACCAGACACCCGUUUCAUUUUUGGAAUCAGAUGAAGAUAUUGUCAAGCUUUUCUCUUUGAUUAGCUUGAUGGGGCCUAAUGUACAGCAAAGCAUCAUUCGGACCUUCCACACCUUAUGUCAAUCCCCCUCUGCUACAAGUAUCAAGAGCAAGUUGAUGCAGUCCUCGGUUUUACAAGUAUUGGUUCAGUUGUGCGAGAAUGAUGACCUAAACCUACGAGCAAAUGCUGUAAAGCUGUUCUCUUGCUUAGUAGAACGCGGCAGUGAAGUCACCACUAUCCUGGAGCAUGUGAAUCAGAAGUGCAUUGAGACUAUAUUCAAGAUCAUCAAAACUUCUGAUGACGAAGAAGAGAUUGCUUCUGCAAUGGGCAUUAUCUCUAACAUUCCGGAAAACCCCGAGAUCACACAGUGGCUUAUGGAUGAUGGGGCACUACCUGUCAUACUCAAUUUUCUCCAGAAUGGUUCCCAUAGAAAUCAGUUGAUAGAGAAUGCGGUCGGAGCCAUUUGUCGUUUCACUGCUCCAACAAACUUGGAAUGGCAAAAGAGUGCAGCUGAAGCUGGCAUUAUCCCAUUGUUCGUACAAUUGCUGGAGUCUGGAACCUCAUUGACAAAGGAACGUGCAGCCAUAUCUCUUUCUCUAUUUUCAAAGAGUUCACCACAGUUGAGCAGGUCUUCACCUAACCGCAAAGGAUUCUGCUGCUUCUCGGCCCCACCAGAAACCAGAUGCCCUGUUCAUGGUGGAAUCUGUGGCAUUGUUUCAUCAUUUUGCCUUGUGGAGGCUGGUGCAGUGGGCCCACUGGUUAGGAUUCUUGGGGAACCUGAUCCUGGAGCUUGUGAGGCUUCUUUAGAUGCACUAUUAACUUUAAUCGAAGGUGAGAGACUGCAGAUGGGUAGUAAGGUGCUCACAGAUGCGAAUGCCAUCCCACCUAUAAUAAAAUUUCUUGUUCAACCAUACCCUAGUUUGCAAGAGAAGGCCUUAAAUGCUCUAGAAAGAAUGUUCCGGCUGCUGGAGUUUAAACAGAAGUUUGGAGGCUCCGCUCAGAUGCCUUUAGUCGACAUAACUCAGCGUGGAAGCGGUAGUGUAAAAUCUAUGGCAGCCAGAAUACUUGCUCACUUGAACGUGCUUCACGAUCAGUCUUCUUAUUUCUGAAGGAGCUUCAUAGAUUCAGCUACGAGUCAUUGAUUUGAAGGUCAAGCAUAAACUCACCCUUGUGCUUAAACUUUGCAACGAUUACUAAACACGGGGACUGGCCAUGUAAAGCUAGACAAGAGAGAGCCCUUCAUAUUUUUAUAAGAAGGUGCAGCAUGGUUCUCUGUCCAGUAUGCCCAUCAUCUGGUUUUUGGCGACAUGGGAUCGGAGGGACGCAAUUGAAUUUGUCUUGACACGGAGUAGCAGCUUCGAGACUGAAACUGACAAUUUAAAUUGUGCUGCUCUUACAUAGAAAUGAGGUGUCGCAGGAACUUGGUUUCCGCUUGUAUAUUUGAAGCUUGAUUUGUACGUUGGUGUAAGGAGAAGAGAUCAUUGCAAAGCCACCAGUGGUAGCCUGAACCUCAUCGACGAGUAUCACCGGUGCGGAGAUCAAAAUUAUGAGGAGCCACUCGUUCGGACUCAAUGGAACAACACUGAACACGUCUGUGAGAAACGGACAUGGCAACCAGAAGCAGCUCCGAGUUGGUUUCUUCAUUAUAUGAAUGUCAGCUGGGUUAAAACCGAGAGCUGUUGCGGGGGGGUCCAUCGGUAGCCAGAUUUACUCACAGAAGCUGCACAGGUAUCAUGCAUUCGGGUAUUCCCAACUCAGCAGUCAGUUAUGGAUAUGACCUCUCCGACAUUUGAAGAUAUCAUGUACCUGCAAAUGGACGGUGAAAUAGGGAGGAUGAUGAACAAAGAGAUGUACCGGAUAAAAGCUUUCCUGAUAGUGUAAAUGGCCCGGCCUUCUGCGACAGCGGAAGCAUUAGUACUGAGAUUAUCAUCUGCCAAAACCAUAUCCGAAGCUUCUUCCGCAACCUGAGGUAUGUAGCAUGAAGGCUUAGAGUCAUACGGCAAGGCCCAAAGUUGAUAGCGGCUUAUAUAUGCUCCACUCCCGUCACCAAUGUUUCAUGUGGGCAACAAUGGCUGCCCCGUGCGCCUAGGCCCGCCUCGUUUUGUCUGCCUUUUUUCUCUUUUUUUUUUUUUGUAUGUGCGUGCGCGCUGGGCUCCCCUCAUUUUGCAUGCACGGAACACGCCACAUUUUGUGUGCCAGAAGCCUGGCUAGUUUUAUGACAGAAGCUCGUCUCGUUUUUGUGAGCGGAGUCUGCCUCA